This 529-nucleotide ribosomal RNA is filed under the name uncultured bacterium. RNAcentral's name for it is "bacterial SSU rRNA". It matches the Rfam family "Bacterial small subunit ribosomal RNA", at positions 28 to 603 of the family's 1533-position model. The record is from RNAcentral.
AGCGAACGCUGGCGGCAGGCCUAACACAUGCAAGUCGAACGGACCCUUCGGGGUUAGUGGCGGACGGGUGAGUAACACGUGGGAACGUGCCUUUAGGUUCGGAAUAGCUCCUGGAAACGGGUGGUAAUGCCGAAUGUGCCCUUCGGGGGAAAGAUUUAUCGCCUUUAGAGCGGCCCGCGUCUGAUUAGCUUGUUGGUGGGGUAAUGGCCCACCAAGGCUACGAUCAGUAGCUGGUCUGAGAGGAUGACCAGCCACAUUGGGACUGGGACACGGCCCAAACUCCUACGGGAGGUAGCAGUGGGGAAUCUUGCGCAAUGGGCGAAAGCCUGACGCAGCCAUGCCGCGUGUAUGAUGAAGGUCUUAGGAUUGUAAAAUACUUUCACCGGUGAAGAUAAUGACUGUAACCGGAGAAGAAGCCCCGGCUAACUUCGUGCCAGCAGCCGCGGUAAUACGAAGGGGGCUAGCGUUGCUCGGAAUUACUGGGCGUAAAGGGAGCGUAGGCGGACAUUUAAGUCAGGGGUGAAAUCCC